UCACUGUCUCAAGCUUGGCUUGUUGUUGGGCCCUUUGUCACCUGGUGACAGGUCCAAAAGAUAAUGGCCGGUGUCAUACAGACGCUAUAUGCAACGAGCUUUCACAGCACGCAUCUGGCUGUCAUGUGGCCCGGUCUUCACCUCUUACUUUCUCAA
This 156-nucleotide unclassified non-coding RNA is filed under the name uncultured Chaetothyriales. RNAcentral's name for it is "sequence contains ITS2". The record is from RNAcentral. Lineage: Eukaryota; Fungi; Ascomycota; Eurotiomycetes; Chaetothyriales.